This 253-nucleotide ribosomal RNA is filed under the name uncultured bacterium. Its description in RNAcentral is "partial 16S ribosomal RNA". It matches the Rfam family "Bacterial small subunit ribosomal RNA", at positions 524 to 776 of the family's 1533-position model. The record is from RNAcentral.
UACGAAGGGGGCUAGCGUUGUUCGGAAUCACUGGGCUUAAAGGGCGCGUAGGCGGGCUGGUAAGUCAGGGGUGAAAGCCCACGGCCCAACCGUGGAAGUGCCUUUGAUACUGCCAGUCUCGAGGGAGGUAGGGGCGUGCGGAACUUCCGGUGGAGCGGUGAAAUGCGUAGAUAUCGGAAGGAACACCGGUGGCGAAAGCGGCGCGCUGGACCUCUUCUGACGCUGAGGCGCGAAAGCCAGGGGAGCAAACGGG